GGGUCAGUAGGUUGGUCGUGCCACCGGUACGUACUGGUCUCACUGAUUCCUCCUUCCUGAAUAACCGUAAUGCCAUUAAUUUGGUGUUGCGGGGAAGCAGGACUGUUACUUUGAAAAAAUUAGAGUGUUUAAAGCAAGCUAACGCUUGAAUACAUUAGCACGGAAUAAUGAAAUAGGACGAUCGAUCCUAUUUUGUUGGUUUCUAGGAUUGACGUA
RNAcentral lists this ribosomal RNA (216 nucleotides) under Glomeromycotina sp. RNAcentral's name for it is "partial small subunit ribosomal RNA". The stretch from base 40 to 216 matches the Rfam family "Eukaryotic small subunit ribosomal RNA", at positions 686 to 864 of the family's 1831-position model. Lineage: Eukaryota; Fungi; Glomeromycota. The record is from RNAcentral.